Molecule: long non-coding RNA, 800 nt
Filed under: Malus domestica (apple)
Lineage: Eukaryota; Viridiplantae; Streptophyta; Magnoliopsida; Rosales; Rosaceae
Description: long non-coding RNA (MDOM_LNC009442)
Source: RNAcentral
UUGGGCUCUCGUUGAUUUCGAAAUAUUUUGAAAUUCCUUUUGGGUUGGUUAGCCGUUGAUUUCCAAAUGAAGAUGGGUAAGAUUGGUGGAGUUCAAACUCUUUUUGAAUUGUUCCAAUUUAUCCUCUUUUCCCCCUAAAUCGCAGAGGCUUUUUUAUGCAGGUCACGAGCUCUUUGUCCUUCUAUUGCACCAUCUUGCUUAUGCUCCUUUUGUGGACCGAAAAUUCAAAGCGAAAAUGAGGAGAAAAUAACCAGCAGGUCACCCCAUUUUCGUUUUCUAUGUUCUAUGUUUGAUUCGGAGUGGGUUGAAGCUCUGAACUGCAACUGAUUGGUUUAAUUAUUUCGUGCAGGCGUCACUGGCAACAACAUCUCUUCGAUUUGGUUUGUUGAUGUGUCCUUCAGGUAAUGAGCUUCAUUGGGUUGUAAAAAAAAACCUCUUUUUGUGUACUAGUAGAUGAUAAACCCAAUUUGAUGUUGGUAGCUUCCGUAGUCUAAAUUCAUUUAACUUUUCGCUUAUCAUGAGCAACUUUCAGUACCAUUUUGACUUGGCUCAAUCACCAGGCUCUAAGCCAGCCACAUGUGGUGUGUUCCCUGUUGGGAGGCUGCCCAUUAGCCCCCAAACAAAGCUUCAGGCUCAUUGUUGGAGGUGGUGAAAAUAUAUUCUACUCUAUUUUCCAUCAGUGGUUUCAUUCAUGAUCAUUGUCAUCUCGAAUAUCCAAAAACAGGGCAUUGAGUUUGAAAAAAUCGUAACCCAACUCAGUAGGCUAGCUGCUGUGUGCAAGGCAAGGCCCUAAAAGGCUU